GAUGAAGAACUCAGCGAAAUGCGAUAAGUAAUGUGAAUUGCAGAAUUCAGUGAAUCAUCGAAUCUUUGAACGCACAUUGCGCCCAUUAGUAUUCUAGUGGGCAUGCCUGUUCGAGCGUCAUUUCAACCCUUAAGCCUAGCUUAGUAUUGGGAAUCGACUUUACUGUCGUUCCUCAAAUUCAACGGCGGAUUUAUAGCAAUCUCUGAACGUAGUAAUUUUUUUCCUCGUUUUUGAAAUACUAUAAACCUCAGCCGCUAAACCCCCAAUUUUUCUAUGGUUGACCUCGGAUCAGGUAGGAAUACCCGCUGAACUUAAGCAUAUCAAUAAGCGGAGGA
RNAcentral lists this unclassified non-coding RNA (335 nucleotides) under soil metagenome. Its description in RNAcentral is "partial contains 5.8S ribosomal RNA, internal transcribed spacer 2, and large subunit ribosomal RNA". The stretch from base 1 to 120 matches the Rfam family "5.8S ribosomal RNA", at positions 35 to 154 of the family's 154-position model. The record is from RNAcentral.